UCAAAAUCGUCCCCCAUCUCUCCCUCUCUCUCUACCUUCAAAUCUUCAAGACUUGUUCUUCAUUCAAAGCUUUGAAGGUGAUCCAUGGAGGUUGCAAGUUGAAGGGCAUUCAAAGGAGCUUUGUUCUAGUCUUGUUCAUCAUCUUUCUCACCAUCAUCUUCACUAGAAUUUCUACCCUAGCUUUGUGCUAGUAGUUGUCGUGUAGCGGACAGGGUUUGAGAUUCGAUUCAAGACGCACUACUGUGAGUACAUAGACCCCUCUCUUACUGUUUUCCAAUGUUUGGGGAGCUGUUGCUUAGGAUGUUCGUGACACACUAGGGCGGACCUAUGCCUUAGAGACUAAAAUAAAGAUGGAACUAGUUUAAUUAUGUGAUGAACACUUUGUUUCAGUUAAUUUAAGACUAUGUAACUCUUUGCUUGAU
This 422-nucleotide long non-coding RNA is filed under the name Helianthus annuus (common sunflower). RNAcentral describes it as "hypothetical non coding rna". Lineage: Eukaryota; Viridiplantae; Streptophyta; Magnoliopsida; Asterales; Asteraceae. The record is from RNAcentral.